GUAGGUGGCAAGCGUUGUCCGGAAUUAUUGGGCGUAAAGCGCGCGCAGGUGGUUCCUUAAGUCUGAUGUGAAAGCCCCCGGCUCAACCGGGGAGGGUCAUUGGAAACUGGGGAACUUGAGUGCAGGAGAGGAAAGUGGAAUUCCACGUGUAGCGGUGAAAUGCGUAGAUAUGUGGAGGAACACCAGUGGCGAAGGCGACUUUCUGGCCUGUAACUGACACUGAGGCGCGAAAGCGUGGGGAGCAAACAGGGAUUAGAUACCCUGGUAGUCCACGCCGUAAACGAUGAGUGCUAAGUGUUGGGGGGGUUUCCGCCCCCUCAGUGCUGCAGCUAACGCAUUAAGCACUCCGCCUGGGAGUACGGUCGCAAGACUG
This 373-nucleotide ribosomal RNA is filed under the name uncultured organism. Its description in RNAcentral is "partial 16S ribosomal RNA". It matches the Rfam family "Bacterial small subunit ribosomal RNA", at positions 527 to 896 of the family's 1533-position model. The record is from RNAcentral.